Molecule: ribosomal RNA, 393 nt
Filed under: uncultured bacterium
Lineage: Bacteria
Description: partial 16S ribosomal RNA
Rfam family: Bacterial small subunit ribosomal RNA
Source: RNAcentral
AUACGGAGGAUGCGAGCGUUAUCCGGAUUUAUUGGGUUUAAAGGGUGCGUAGGCUGUGCGUUAAGUCAGGGGUGAAAUGCCGUCGCUCAACGACGGAGCUGCCCUUGAUACUGGCGUGCUGGAGUACGGAUGCCGUUGGAGGAAUGAGUGGUGUAGCGGUGAAAUGCUAAGAUAUCACUCAGAACACCGAUUGCGAAGGCAACUACCGAAACCUCCACUUACGCGGAUGCACGAAUGCUUGGGGAUAGAACAGUAUCAGAUACCCUUGUAUUCCGCGCCGUAAACGAUGAUGACGAACCGUCGGCGAUAGACAACCGGGGGCCAAUCGAAAGCGAUAAGUCAUCCACCUGGGGAGGACGUCGGCAACGAUGAAACUCAAAGGAAUUGACGGUG